UGGAUGAAGAAAAGAUGAGCGAGUGGUUAAGGGAAGUUUACGCGAAGAGGCCGGGUGGCUUUUUUCACGCAGCUCCGUCCAUGUUGAUAUACGACUCCAUGCGCGCCCACAUCACAGAUGGUGUCAAAAAACAAGUGAAGCACACAAAUACAACACUCGCCGUCAUUCCGGGUGGAUUAACCAAAGAACUCCAACCGCUCGAUAUUGGUGUCAACAAGGCAUUUAAAGCAUGACUGCGAACGGCGUGGGAACAAUGGAUGACCGAAGGCGAACACACAUUCACUAAGACAGGGAGACAGCGCCGGACGACAUACGCCAACAUCUGCCAGUGGAUCGUAAAUGCCUGGGCGGAUAUUUCGGUCUCAACUGUGGUCCGAGCUUUCCGGAAGGCAGGAUUCACGGAACUGCUGGAAAAACAACAGCGACACUGACUCUGAUGACUUCGACGAGACGGAGCCGGCCAUUUUGGAACCGUAUUCGCCCAACUUUUUAAUUCGGACACCGUAGGAGAAGAAUUCGAGGGAUUUAUGAAUGAAGAAUAACUUCAGAAAGUGAGUGUUAUGUUUAUUUUGUGUGUUGUGACAUUAACGUUCGAGCAACAUUAAGUUAUUGAUGUUAUUGCUCUGCACUAUUUUGAAUUUUACUAUGUUUGUGAUUGCACAUUUGCACAUUACCGUACAUUUUGGGAGUGAACAGAGUUGUUAGAACGCUGGUUUUUAAUAUAUUAUUAAAGUUUAACUGACCUAUCUGACUGUUUUUUUGACAUUCCCUUUAGCGCAGUUAGAUGCGGCUUAUAACACGGGGCGGCUUAUGGUGCGGAAAAUACGGUAUGUAAAUAUGUGACAAACUGCUGAUUAACAUUACAUUUAACUACAUUAAAUUACAAUAGAUCAGCAACACCGUAUAAUAAACAAAUACAAAAUAUUGCAAUAUAUUGACAUUGUGUGUAUAAAUAUGACUAUAAAUGCAUGCGCAUGCAAAAAAAGUGUGACGUCAUGAGUCCAUAUUAUGACGUGCACAGUCUCCACAGCUCAAGCAUCACACACACACACACACACACACUCUGGACGAGCAUACUCAGUGUGCUUCUUCUUCAUGAGCUUGUUUAUGCAUUUUGAAAGAUAACCAAAACAACGAGAUUAAAGGUAAGCACUUUCACUUACAUUUCAAAGAUGUCUAUAUUUUUUUUAUUUAUAAUUGAUUCUUGUUUUAGUUUGUGAGUUUGAGUGAGGAUGAGGAAGAUCAACCUUCAUCUGCUUGUCAUGUUCUUUUUCUCAAGCAGCAGGGCGGAAAGUGCAGAAGAGCGUUUAGUGAACGACUUGUUGGGUCCGCAGCGCUACAACAAACUGAUCAGACCAGCAGUCAAUACGAGUCAGCAGGUCAUCAUUUCUAUUCGUGUUUCUUUGUCUCAACUUAUCAGUGUUAACGAGCGAGAACAGAUCAUGACGACUAACGUGUGGUUGUCUCAGGAGUGGAAUGAUUUCAGACUGAGGUGGGAUCCUGACAAGUACGAAGGCAUCAAGAAACUAAGAAUACCAUCCAAACUCCUCUGGCUUCCUGACAUCGUGCUUUACAACAAUGCUGAUGGCGUGUACGAAGUGUCCUUCUACUGCAACACGGUGGUGUCCAACACAGGGGACAUUGUGUGGUUGCCGCCCGCCAUCUACAAAUCAGCCUGCGCCAUCGAAGUACAGAACUUCCCCUUUGACCAGCAGAACUGCACCCUAAAGUUCCGCUCCUGGACUUAUGAUCACACAGAGGUGGACUUGAUGCUCACCAGCGACUUCGCCAGCCGUGACGACUUCACGCCCAGUGGAGAGUGGGACAUUGUGUCGCUUCCUGGACGCAAGAAUGAGGACCCAAAUGACAUCACUUACUUGGACAUCACCUAUGACUUUGUUAUCAAGAGGAAGCCGCUCUUCUACACAAUUAAUCUGAUCAUUCCCUGCGUGCUCAUUACCUCUUUGGCUAUUUUGGUCUUCUACCUGCCAUCAGACUGUGGUCAGAAGAUGACUUUGUGUAUUUCAGUGCUGCUAGCGCUCACUGUGUUUCUGCUGCUUAUUUCCAAGAUUGUACCACCCACCUCGCUGGCAGUGCCACUCAUUGGUAAAUACCUCAUGUUUACUAUGGUGUUGGUCACCUUCUCCAUCGUGACCAACGUUUGCGUCCUGAACGUUCAUCACCGCUCUCCAUCCACCCACCACAUGCCUAAGUGGGUCAACCGCCUCUUCCUGGUCCAACUCCCUACAUUACUUUUCAUGAGGCGUCCAGGUGUGACUAACGUCCGUAAAAGAGUCAAGAGGAUGUGUGCGGAACGCAACACCGUCAGAAAGAAUCCUUCUCAGACGGCAAGAGAUAAGCGACGCUUGUCUAACGUGAACCUGAGUGAAGUUCGGACUAAUACCAACUCCUCCUAUGUGAACGCAAACUGGGCCCACAAGUAUUGCUGGAGGCUGGGAGACAUCCCGGACAUCGGGUAUGGAUGUCCAGACGUCCACAGGCCUUUGACCACCCAGUGGGAAGCUGAUGUGCAGGAGGCGGUGGAAGGAGUGAAAUACAUUGCUGAGCACAUGAAGAAAGAAGAUGAUGACGAAGGAAUAAUAGAGGACUGGAAGUAUGUUGCCAUGGUGAUAGACCGUUUGUUUCUUUGGAUCUUCAUCUUGGUGUGUGUGGUCGGAACACUGGGGCUCUUCAUGCAGCCGCUGUUUCAAAGCUACAACACACCCGUCGCUGAGGACGCGGAGUAAGACACACACACACACACACACACACACACACACACACACACACACACACACACACACACACACACACACAAAGUGAAACAAGGGGGGCCAAAGACGAGUGUCUCAUGAGGAAACAACAGGCCUCCAGGAAUAGAUUUAAAAAAGAUGGCCCCCAAGGUCUAUCUGUUAAGUGAAGCCCAAUAAGGGGAAGGAGCCAGGGGGUCUAUCAUGGAAAGACAUGUACCACCCACAACUUGACAACUGGCAUCGAGAAAACAUAUCAAUGGCUGGAAAAGGCUGGACUGAAAGACAGCACAAAAGCAUUAAUAAUGGCUGCCCAGGAACACAAGGUUAAUACAAUGGAGUCUACCACAUCAGACAGAACACAUCGUCAUUUGGCACUACAGUACUGUUGCAGUUGAGUCGUCAUGGGGAGCGGUCGCAUUUUUUUCCCGCUCUCACUGUAGCAUACAAGCGAAGUCUCGCUUAAUUCCACACUUUCUCCUUUUUCUAUUGUGGAUCAUGGAUUUAUAUUUCAAACCACCUCGGAUACUUUACCCUCUCGGAAAUGAGAGUCGUGAACGCGAAAUGGACAAUCACAGUGAUUGUUAUCUCAUCGACAAUACAUCGGCGAAGCACUUUAGCUUCGGAGCUAACAUGAUAGCCUCGUGCUUGACUGCAGAUCGAAACAGAAGAAACAUGCCCCUGACUGGAAGGAUUGACCGAAGAUCAACAAUACUACUAUUACUUCUACUCUCAGGAGACACUGAACUUAACCCUGGACCUGUAAUCACCCGGUUAAUGUUGUCCCGGCUGGCAAAGCCUAGCAAUGCUGCUGCUAACGACGCCAUUGAAGCUAACUUUGCUACAGGACCUCCUAUCUGCUCAUCCCAACCCGAGCUCACCUGGGCUCCAGCGAUCGGCGGCUCGACAGAUGACUUCACCCUGUUCAUCGACACGGUCGGCGGUGGCGGUGGAGGACGACCGGCGAACAGCGCAGCGGCGGUCAACAAGGUGACUGUCGACAUCAACACCCCGGUCUGCAGUAGAGACGGAGUAGUGGAGGGCCACGCGGCCUCUCCCCGGUCCCUGACGGUCGAGGACGUGGCGUCUGGACCCACGGCCUACACAGGAUUUAGGGGCUCCUUCGUCCUACCAUGGUCAUUGUUUUCGCGAAAAUGAAAUCAACAACCACCCCCCCCCCCCCUCUCUCUCCAACUCCGCCCCUCACCAAUGCCCGCAAAAAAAACAAAACACCCUGGCCCCCCCCUCUCCAACUCCGCCCCUCCCCCAUCACCUGGAUGAAGAUCAAUAUGCCUCUCUCCCCUUCUCUCCUCUCCCUCCUGCUCUCCCAAGCAUCUCCAGCCAAACAGCGAACUGAACUGCUCUCCGAGUUCAACUUCAAUAACAACCAACAACUUUUCUGGACAGUGCCACUACACAGCGGACUCUGAUGCUCUUUUUGGUUCCAGUGGACUACACAUCAUCCACCUUAAUGUGAACAGACUCUCUGGAACCAAACUCGACCAAAUCAGAGAAAUGUUCCUCAACACGAAGGUAUGGAGAUUUCUAGGAUGAUUUUGAAUUUGCUCAACUUAAACUGAGAUGCUCUGCCAGGUGCUCUCCUGGGCGAGUUGGUGUAAAGUCAGCUGCUAGCUGGCCCGUGUGUAUUGUCAAGGUAGAAACCAUGACACACUGUGUAUUUAUAUCUGUAUUUAUAUUAGGGAUGCACGAUAAAUAUUGGACCAAUAAUUAUUGAGCUGGUCCGAUAACAUAAAAACAUAGCUCAGAUCAUCUUCAAGUCGCUUUCUGACAGUCGCUUCAGAAUGCGCCGUUUUUUGGCGAUCUUAUUUUUACGUGGCUCACGCUCGGUGUAGCGUGCAAGGACGGGAGUGGAAGAAGUGUCAAAAGAUGGAGCUUGAGCCCCCCUAAAAUAGGCCUAACAACGCCAAUGUUGUCAGGUAUGUUUAUAUUUCACUGUGUUAUCGUACGUCACUCCCCUUUUCUCCAUGAAACCAACGUGAGAGGUGCUCCCCAAUUGGCAGAAAAAGAUUGACUACAUUUGUAUUUCCUGUAUUGCCACGAGUUGCCCUGGUGUUGGUCGUGUUUAUUAAAGCCGACACACAACGCAAAGGAAGAAAACAUUGUUGUAGUCUGUUUCUGUCAUCUUUCUACUGUGUUUCUACUGUCUGUACAGACUU
Molecule: non-coding RNA, 4927 nt
Organism: Nerophis lumbriciformis (worm pipefish)
Lineage: Eukaryota; Metazoa; Chordata; Actinopteri; Syngnathiformes; Syngnathidae
Source: RefSeq, a predicted model, not a curated record